RNAcentral lists this unclassified non-coding RNA (345 nucleotides) under Hevea brasiliensis (rubber tree). Lineage: Eukaryota; Viridiplantae; Streptophyta; Magnoliopsida; Malpighiales; Euphorbiaceae. The record is from RNAcentral.
AAAUUUAAGCCACAUAAAAAUAAUUAUAUGAUCCUCAACUUGGAUAAGAACCAUAUUGAGAUAGGACUGUCCAGGUUAAUGUCUAAGGAAACAUAACUUGUUCUUCUAUGGUCAGCCAUAGAUGAAUGUUGGAAAAGCCCACCAAAUUAACUUGUAAGAAGAACAAAAGGACACAUCUAACUAUGUUAUCUGAGCCUGUCUUCCAAAGUAAUGACCAAAUAUCAUGUAAUAGUUUUAAAUUGAACAAAGUAUGAGCGUUGACACAUGCAUGAUUAGCUCAUCAAGUAUAGAGGGAAGAAGGGGAAGAAGCAUGGUGCUUACUUCAUCAGCUACUAUAUCGAACAG